GGUCGGGUGGUGUAGUUGGUUAUCACAUCUCGUUAACAUGUAUGUUUAACAUCAAAUACCGAGAAGGUCCUGGGAUCGAGCCCCAGCCUGAUCA
Molecule: non-coding RNA, 94 nt
Organism: Xylogone sp. PMI_703
Lineage: Eukaryota; Fungi; Ascomycota; Leotiomycetes
Source: the annotation of a GenBank genome assembly